Molecule: ribosomal RNA, 382 nt
Filed under: Mytilus galloprovincialis (Mediterranean mussel)
Lineage: Eukaryota; Metazoa; Mollusca; Bivalvia; Mytilida; Mytilidae
Description: partial 16S ribosomal RNA
Rfam family: Bacterial large subunit ribosomal RNA
Source: RNAcentral
UAACGUGAGCGUCCUAAGGUAGCGCGAUAAUUUGCUUUUCAAUUGAAGGAUGGUAUGAAAGGGUUAACGAAGAAGGUGCUGUGUCUAAAAAUUCAAUUUAAACUAACUUUAAGGUGAAGAGGCCUUUAUGCAAAAGAAGGACGACAAGACCCUAUGAAGCUUUAUCUUAAUUGGAGCUUUCAGGCUCUUAUACGAUUUUGAUGGGAGAUCAGUAGAAAUAAGUCUUCUACUAUCAUAUUAAUCUUACUAGUAUUUCCUAACCUUAUAUGUGUGGCUAGCUACUCUAGGGAUAACAGCGCAAUUUCUCCCGAAAGAUGGUAUUGGAGGGGAAGAUUGCGACCUCGAUGUUGGCUUUAGAUAUCCUAGAGGCGUAGAAGCUUCU